AAUGUUCUGCCGUUGUUUUGUUUUCUUUGUUUGCUUGUUACUACACCCGUAGACAGCGCUAAAGUCCAGCAUCUUUACGUAGUAACACUGUCUUCUUGACUAGUGCUGUUGAAUGACAUUUGUCCUGGGAGCACUGUACAAAUGUGGCGGCGCUUUAGACGCAUGCUCAGGGUCCCUAUGCGAUAUCUAGUGUAUAUAUCUAUGAUACUGUAGUAGCUAUCUGCUGCGGCUGCCUCAAUGGCAGGCAAAUACAUUUUACUUCAGUGGAAAACUCGGCCCUCAUCAUGAUAUAAGGAUUAUGCCCAUCAUAUGUGCUUAUUUUCUAUUUGUGUCUCCUUUGAUAUAUGACAUACAUCGCAAAAAUACGGCCUUUCCUCUGUUUUCCUGCCCUCCUCCAUUUGAAUUUCGCGCCUCACCAAAACCACGUGAUUGUAAAUGUGGAGGGCGGGUGUAGUGACGUCGGCGCGCAGGGGCGGGGCAGGUUGUGAUUUUGGUAUAAAUACGCACGUCAGCUGGCUCACCUGUUUGCCAGUUCGAUAGUUUGCUAUGUUGUCCGAUAAUAACGUCAAACAAACAAACGCCCCAAACACUCGAUGGGAUCCACGCCGAUUACCGCCAAAGAGCUUUUUGGCCUGAGGUCGACACAUCAUCCUCAAAAUCACACCAGGAGUUUGAGACCCAACUGUAAAGCAGCUUACAAAAGUGUUGCCAACUAUUUCCAAGAGGAGGGGAGACUGCAGACUUGGAUCCAGACAGAUCUACGGCCUAAGCAGUUUUACGUCCCAGGCAGUUUUACACCCAUGUUGUCCCUGAUGCGUCCAGUAGAGGGAGGCAGUGCAGUAUUUUCUAUUAAGCCUCCAGAACUCUACCACACUCAACCAUAAUUGCAUUCAAUUACAUUUAAUAUAAUGCAAUGUUCUAGUUUAAACAAUUAAACUAUCAUAUGUCUAUAAAUGCAAAGAAAUCUCACAAUUUUAAAUGGUCUACUGAUUUUUAUUUAUAUAGCUAUACAGUGCAUUUUGUAUAUAAGCUAUGAAGUUUGCAUUGCACAUGCAUUUAUAUAGUUUCACAUUGUUUUAUAAUGUUUAUUGUGACAAUUUGUUACAAAGAAAAUAAUAAAAUAUGGGAAAGUCGGUAUCACAAUUUGUGGCUGCAAAUAAAAAAUAAAUAAUGACUUUGUC
Non-coding RNA from Danio rerio (zebrafish), 1181 nucleotides. NCBI's taxonomy places the organism in Eukaryota, Metazoa, Chordata, Actinopteri, Cypriniformes, Danionidae. The record is from RefSeq and is a predicted model, not a curated record.